This 465-nucleotide ribosomal RNA is filed under the name Vreelandella stevensii. Its description in RNAcentral is "partial 16S ribosomal RNA". It matches the Rfam family "Bacterial small subunit ribosomal RNA", at positions 338 to 795 of the family's 1533-position model. Lineage: Bacteria; Pseudomonadati; Pseudomonadota; Gammaproteobacteria; Oceanospirillales; Halomonadaceae. The record is from RNAcentral.
UCUACGGGGGGCAGCAGUGGGGAAUAUUGGACAAUGGGCGAAAGCCUGAUCCAGCCAUGCCGCGUGUGUGAAGAAGGCCUUCGGGUUGUAAAGCACUUUCAGUGGGGAAGAAAGCCUUGGGGCUAAUACCCUCGAGGAAGGACAUCACCCACAGAAGAAGCACCGGCUAACUCCGUGCCAGCAGCCGCGGUAAUACGGAGGGUGCGAGCGUUAAUCGGAAUUACUGGGCGUAAAGCGCGCGUAGGCGGUCUGAUAAGCCGGUUGUGAAAGCCCCGGGCUCAACCUGGGAACGGCAUCCGGAACUGUCAGGCUAGAGCGCAGGAGAGGAAGGUAGAAUUCCCGGUGUAGCGGUGAAAUGCGUAGAGAUCGGGAGGAAUACCAGUGGCGAAGGCGGCCUUCUGGACUGACACUGACGCUGAGGUGCGAAAGCGUGGGUAGCAAACAGGAUUAGAUACCCUAGUAGUC